Molecule: unclassified non-coding RNA, 345 nt
Filed under: soil metagenome
Description: partial contains 5.8S ribosomal RNA, internal transcribed spacer 2, and large subunit ribosomal RNA
Rfam family: 5.8S ribosomal RNA (bases 1-120)
Source: RNAcentral
GAUGAAGAACGUAGCGAAAUGCGAUACGUAAUGUGAAUUUCAGAAUUCAGUGAAUCAUCGAGUCUUUGAACGCACAUUGCGCCCCCUGGUAUUCCGGGGGGCAUGCCUGUCCGAGCGUCAUUGCUGCCCUCAAGCACGGCUUGUGUGUUGGGCCUCCGUCCUCCUCCCGGGGGACGGGCCCGAAAGGCAGCGGCGGCACCGCGUCCGGUCCUCGAGCGUAUGGGGCUUCGUCACCCGCUCUUGUAGGCCCGGCCGGCGCUUGCCGACACAUCAAUCUUUUUUCCAGGUUGACCUCGGAUCAGGUAGGGAUACCCGCUGAACUUAAGCAUAUCAAUAAGCGGAGGA